Molecule: ribosomal RNA, 497 nt
Filed under: uncultured bacterium
Lineage: Bacteria
Description: partial 16S ribosomal RNA
Rfam family: Bacterial small subunit ribosomal RNA
Source: RNAcentral
GAUGAACGCUGGCGGCGUGCCUAAUACAUGCAAGUCGAGCGAACAGAUGAGGAGCUUGCUCCUCUGACGUUAGCGGCGGACGGGUGAGUAACACGUGGAUAACCUACCUAUAAGACUGGGAUAACUUCGGAAAACCGGAGCUAAUACCGGAUAAUAUAUUGAACCGCAUGGUUCAAUAGUGAAAGACGGUUUUGCUGUCACUUAUAGAUGGAUCCGCGCCGCAUUAGCUAGUUGGUAAGGUAACGGCUUACCAAGGCAACGAUGCGUAGCCGACCUGAGAGGGUGAUCAGCCACACUGGAACUGAGACACGGUCCAGACUCCUACGGGAGGCAGCAGUAGGGAAUCUUCCGCAAUGGGCGAAAGCCUGACGGAGCAACGCCGCGUGAGUGAUGAAGGUCUUCGGAUCGUAAAACUCUGUUAUUAGGGAAGAACAAAUGUGUAAGUAACUAUGCACGUCUUGACGGUACCUAAUCAGAAAGCCACGGCUAACUACGUG